This 500-nucleotide ribosomal RNA is filed under the name Wallabicoris spyridiellus. RNAcentral's name for it is "partial 16S ribosomal RNA". It matches the Rfam family "Archaeal large subunit ribosomal RNA", at positions 1932 to 2667 of the family's 2987-position model. Lineage: Eukaryota; Metazoa; Arthropoda; Insecta; Hemiptera; Miridae. The record is from RNAcentral.
UUGUUUAAAUAAAAGAUCUGGCCUGCCCAAUGAUUUUUUAAUGGCUGCAGUAUAUUGACUGUACAAAGGUAGCAUAAUCAUUUGUCCUUUAAUUGAGGUCUGGAAUGAAUGGUUGGAUGAAAAGUAGACUUUCUUUAUUUUAUAAAUAUAAAAUUUAAUUUCUGAAUCAAAAAGUUUAGAUUUUAAUAUAGGACGAGAAGACCCUAUAGAGCUUUAUUCUCCCUAAAAUAAUUAUUUACUUGUAAAUAAUUAUUUAUCAUUUUAGGGAGAAUUUUGUUGGGGUGACAAAAAAAAUUUAAUAACUUUUUUUAUAUUUAUUAUUUAUAUAUAAUUUUUUGAUCCUUUAGUAAGGAUAAUAAGAUUAAGUUACCUUAGGGAUAACAGCGUUAUUAUUUUAGAGAGUUCAUAUUGAUAAAAUASUUUGCGACCUCGAUGUUGGAUUAAAAUUAGUUUCAGGGGCAGAAUAUUGAUUUACUGGGUCUGUUCGACCUUUAAAUUUU